AGGAACUUGUAUGCUACUGUUCUUUAUCGGCAAAGUUUUGAACUAGUUUUGUACCGAAAUGUACCGUUCAAGAUAAGUUUUGUACUCUCACGAUAGGGGAGCCAAGGGGGGGGGGGUUGUCGUCAAAAGGGGGGAGGUUGGGGAAACAUUUUCGAAAAAACGGACCUAGGUACUCGAAAACCCUCAGAAUGUAUACAAAAAGUUUUGUACCAAAAUGUCCUACUACACUAUUGCACUCCGACCGUCCUGAAACUUCGUUUAAGGGAUCCUCGUAGAUUGAUAGUAAAAUAACAGAUACGGAAAAGGAAAGAAAAUUGCAAGAGUGGAAGGCGGAAUCCAUUGAGGUCUUGACCGAGAGGACGUCCGGGCCGGCACCCAAAAUUUUUUCCGAGAACUUUGUUGAUAUUAUUUUUGGUGAAAAAUAUUUACUCCUCGAGAUCGCAGAUGUUGAUGAUAGAUGCGUUCUUUGGAGGCAUCAGAGAAAUUCGAUGGCUGAUUUUCGUGAAUUGCCCGAUGACCAACUGCAAACCAACUUUUGUCAUGUGACUGUCAUGGCGGCUCAGGUUUUGUAUUUGUUUACUAUUUAAGACAUUGAGGUUAUCUCAACGCUCAGCGGCCUUGCCCAUCACCUUUGAAAGGUGCUGGGCGAUUGCGUUGGCCGAUUGCCCGCCAUGACAGUCAUCGGGCAAUUAGCGAGAAGUCAGCAAGUCCUAGAGAACGAUCGUCAAACUCUCAACGGUACCCAUCGGGUAACCAUCAGUUGACCUGAUGCCUCCAGAGAACGCAUCUGAUGAAGAGUUACAAGCUGUUCUUUUUGCGCUUCAAGGGAGCAAAUCGAUGCAAGAAGUAACAGAAAUUCUUCUUAACAAUCCUCAACUUAAGCGAAUUGGGUGCCCAAGUUGUAUCUCCUCACUGAGUGACCUAAAUGAUCUCAUUGCUGAUAUUAUCAACUACCAGUGUUUUACGCGUGUGGCUGAGCCGAUACAACAGUUCAUCGAAGGUUUGAGUAUGGGCGGUGUUUUAAAAGUAAUGAAGCGUAAUCCUGAUAAAUUUAAGAAAUAUUUCUUGAAAAGUUCUCCACUUUCUCCGGCAGAGAUAUCUGAUUUAUUCCAACUUGAUUCCUUUUUGUGGGCUUCAGCCCCAGAGCCGGCAAUGACUUACUGGAACCGGCUGUUGAGAGACUUGGCUAGUAAGUUUCAUUUUUCUCCCUUAAUUAAUGAAAACAUGAAUGUAUUGGUUAAAAGUAGUCUCCUUUUUAGUGAUCUCUUACGUUAGAGGGUAUGAAAGGAGGUUAAGUUAAUCAACAACCGUUUUGAAAAACAUUUGCAAAUCUGUGAAUUUUUAACCAAAUCAGCUCUACAAUAUCUGGUGUCAAACUUAAAGAUUUUAUACCUACUGAACUGUGCGGAUCAUAUUUCGCUAUCUGCUUUCGUUCACUCUUACCUUGAAUCCUUACACUACUUUCGGAGCAGCCAUUGUACAAACCAAUGGGCUGUGACAUUUUCUCUUCUCCAAGUAUGUUCAGGAGUGCCAAGGGUGCUCAGGAGGGUGGUAAAGGAGGGAUGAUGACCCUCCGAACCCUUACAUAAAUUUUUCUCAUCCCGUAGGGGGUGUUUUCCCGGAGCUUGUUCAUAAGCAAGAGCUUGUAUGGUAGAUGUACUUACAAGGAGCAACUUAGACUUAGACAAAGUGAAUUAAUGAAGCCUUCUUUUCUUACAGAUGUUCCCGCCGGCAGCGUCCCGCAGACUGAGCCGGAACAGACGAAGAAACCUUAAGAGAAGGAUCCUGAGGCGGAACAGACGAAGAAACCUGAGGCGGAACAGACGACGAAUCCUGAAGAAAAGAAGCCUGAGCCGGAACAGACGAAGAAACCUGAAGAGAAGGAGCCGGAACAGGGGGAGGAGGCGGAAGGUAUUUUUAUUUUUUAUUAUGCCUUAAACUCUUUGCAGCAUACGCUGGUGAUGUAACUUGAUUUUUUAUGUCUUUAACUUUCUCUCAUGCUUUUGCAUCAGUGAAGCAGUAGCGGGAGGUGGUACUUUUUUUAUUAUGCCUGUUGAUCUGCAAUUGUUGCGAAAGGUAUUUCUUAUUUUUAUUAUGCCUUAAACUGUUGCUGCUGUAUGUAACUGAUAGAUAGAAAAGAUGUCCAUUUUUAAUUACAGAUAUAUCAGGAGCUGUCGCAUCGGUGGAGGUAGAAGAUAUGACCGGUUCAGAUUGGCUUCGCUAUGCUAUAUAAAAUGCCCCUUCACUAGUAAUAUGAUCAAAACUUUUUACGAGAAGACACGCAAAGGAUACCCUGGAUGUGCUUUAGGGUGUAAAGAGUUGCUUCCAGACCGAUUUGUUGUAGAAUGGUUUUUGAGCGAGGGAGGACUUCCCCAAGGGUACAGGGAGUACCCUUUCUCUCCAAAUGUAAGUAGGGUGAUAAUUAAUUGUAUUAAUUAAUUUUUAAUUAAUUUCAGAUGCGGUCAUUGUGCGGCCUUGUGAGGCGUCCCCACCCGGACAGGGAGAGCCCCGAGAGACCCAUAAGAAUAGACGCAUAACGGAGCUCACGCCAUAAUACACAUAGUUCCGUCCGACAGAAACACAUCCAAUGGACCACUAGACAAGGUACGAAUUUCAGCAUUCUGAUACAUGCUUCUUGACCAAAAUUUCACGUAAAACUCGAUGCGCACAACGAAAAGUACCGAAAUCAACUCCUUACGAAGAUAUUCAAGAAUUCUUGAUGCGUGAGUUCAAACGACCCGCUCAUGAAAGCUCAAUGCUCUACGUGAUUCACAUCGUGCGCUAAACGUUAUCAUGACAGUCUCUGCGAUAUACAAAUCUGGCAACCUCAAUCUUGAUGUUUGGCUUAGCCGUAGCAAAUUACUUAUAGUUUGAACAACACAUGGUGGGAAAUGAACAUUGCUCGAUUGAGAAGAGUGCUUAAACCGUUGUAGUGCGCGAUUUGACUCACGUUGAGCUUUGAGUUUCUUGUGAGCGGGCAGUUCAAAUUCCUUGAAACCAAUGUGAAAUAAAAACGUUAAUAUCUUCCUUAGGAGUUAAUUUCAGUAAUUUUCGUAGCGCGCAUCGUGUAUUGCGUGAAAUUUUGGUUAAGAAACAUGGAUCAGGUUGCUUAAAUUCGUACCUUUUCUAUAGGUCCAUUAUUAAAAUAAAAAGAAUUCUCAUCUGAAAUAUGCUUUCAAUAGGCGUACAGAGUGCGCUGGGCCGCCCGAUCCGUAGAUCGUAGGCGGACUGUGUGGAUUCGCUGCCGCGCAUUCGAAUUAUUGCGGGGCAAAAAAGGCCCGCCCACAUCAUACACAGCGCCUUCGACAUCGUAGAAAUACUUCCAACGCUACACCGUUACACAUACGUCCCGAUGCGCAAAUUGCCUAUACUGCGCCUGCCGGAGUGUGCACCACUGCGUGACGGUGUAGCGUUGGAGGUAUUCCCAGGAUGUCGAAGGCGCUGUGUAUAGUGUGCGCGGGCGGGCGUGCCAUUUUCAGCCCGAAACAAUUCGAAUGCACGGCACGCAUUACAAACC
Molecule: long non-coding RNA, 3517 nt
Filed under: Bemisia tabaci
Lineage: Eukaryota; Metazoa; Arthropoda; Insecta; Hemiptera; Aleyrodidae
Description: lncRNA ENSSSA1NGG005655
Source: RNAcentral